UUGUUUUUGGAAUUACGAAAUUAUGGUAUCAAACUUUGCAGUUUCUUACCGAUUUUUGAAUUACUUUGUAGCCCUGAAGGUCCAGCGCAAGCAUUAUAAUACCUCCAAAAUUCAGUUGUCGGGCUUGAAUGCCACUAUUCCGUAUAUUUCUACGCUCCGGUGUAGUAGUUGAACCUAUAAAAUGGAAAACCGUUCAUGUUAUAGUAAAACACUUGUAAUAUUUACAUACUUUGAGAAUGUGGGGUUCGUCGAAUACGUGGCGAUAAAUUCGCCAUGGAGUAGAAAUCAGGGCAUUCCUUCCUUGGGGUCAGGAAGAUGAGAUCAGUUGUCUGGGGCACUACAGUGGACGCAUCAAUUUUACUUGCCUCCAGUGGUGAUUGACUUUCAAUUUGUUUUUACCUCGAGGAGGCAAAAUCGUUGGUACCGCAGAUUGAUGCAGCCUUUGUGUACCUUGGACAUAGUCUUCAGCCCGAAAAUGUUGGUAGCAAAUGUACCCUCUCCGAUAAAUUUGGUCAUUUGUUAAACCCUCGAAUUUUGGGUUAUUGGAGGCUUUAACCCAUGCCAUAAACCUAUCUAGACCCCGUUUCGGAUGUGGAAACCUAAAUAUAGGGGCCAUCCUGUUCCCACAUUUAUAAAUUGCACAAGUUUUGUGCGUUUUUUGUGCUUCCAUUCUUUUUUCUACAAACAUUUGUUAUAAUAAUGCUAUAAACAAUGAACAUAAAGUGAAAACAUUUGUAUACUUACAUUUUUUUGUACACUACACAACACAACAGCUACAAAAUGCACUUAGCAACACGAUAAAAAUAAAACUGUUGUGUUUCUUUGGUGGUGUGGGGGUGUUAGGGGAAAGUAGUGUCGUGUGCAGGGAUGUGAAUUCUAAAAUUUUGAAAAUCCGCGCGAAGCAGCGUUUACAGGUUUCUUUUCAUGCGACCCCUGGUGAGUGGGGUUUUCUAUGGCUG
Molecule: long non-coding RNA, 959 nt
Organism: Zophobas morio
Lineage: Eukaryota; Metazoa; Arthropoda; Insecta; Coleoptera; Tenebrionidae
Exons: 4
Source: RefSeq, a predicted model, not a curated record